RNAcentral lists this ribosomal RNA (384 nucleotides) under uncultured bacterium. RNAcentral's name for it is "bacterial SSU rRNA". It matches the Rfam family "Bacterial small subunit ribosomal RNA", at positions 123 to 541 of the family's 1533-position model. The record is from RNAcentral.
AAUCUGCCUUUUGGUUCGGAAUAACACGGGGAAACUUGUGCUAAUACCGAAUAAGCCCUUACGGGGAAAGUUUUAAUGCCAAAAGAUGAGCCCGCACUUGAUUAGCUAGUUGGUAAGGUAAAAGCUUACCAAGGCAACGAUCAAUAGCUGUUCUUAGAGGAAGACCAGCCACAUUGGGACUGAGACACGGCCCAGACUCCUACGGGAGGCAGCAGUGGGGAAUCUUGCACAAUGGGGGAAACCCUGAUGCAGCGAUGCCGCGUGAGUGAAGAAGGCCCUUGGGUUGUAAAACUCUUUCGUCGGGGAAGAAAAUGACUGUACCCGAAUAAGAAGGUCCGGCUAACUUCGUGCCAGCAGCCGCGGUAAUACGAAGGGACCUAGCGU